UACGGGAGGCAGCAGUGGGGAAUAUUGCACAAUGGGCGAAAGCCUGAUGCAGCUAUGCCGCGUGUAUGAAGAAGGCCUUAGGGUUGUAAAGUACUUUCAUCGGGGAGGAAAAAACAAAACUAAUAAUUUUAUUUUCUUGACGUUACCCGAAAAAGAAGCACCGGCUAACUCCGUGCCGGCAGCCGCGGUAAUACGGAGGGUGCUAGCGUUAAUCAGAAUUACUGGGCGUAAAGAGCACGUAGGUGGUUUUUUUAAGUUCAGAUGUGAAAUCCCUGGGCUUAACCUAGGAACUGCAUUUUGAAACUGAAAUACUAGAGUAUCGUAGAGGGAGGUAGAAUUCUAGGUGUAGCGGUGAAAUGCGUAGAUAUCUGGAGGAAUACCUGUGGCGAAAGCGGCCUCCUAAACGAAUACUGACACUGAGGUGCGA
Molecule: ribosomal RNA, 427 nt
Filed under: uncultured bacterium
Lineage: Bacteria
Description: bacterial SSU rRNA
Rfam family: Bacterial small subunit ribosomal RNA
Source: RNAcentral